RNAcentral lists this ribosomal RNA (602 nucleotides) under Leptotrichalus sp. UPOL A00059. Its description in RNAcentral is "partial 16S ribosomal RNA". It matches the Rfam family "Bacterial large subunit ribosomal RNA", at positions 1816 to 2714 of the family's 2925-position model. The record is from RNAcentral. Lineage: Eukaryota; Metazoa; Arthropoda; Insecta; Coleoptera; Lycidae.
CACGUCCUUUUGAAUUUAAUUUAAGGUCUAAUCUGCUCAAUGAUAUUUAAAUUGCCGCAGUAUUUUGACUGUGCAAAGGUAGCAUAAUAAUUAGUUUCUUAAUUAGAAACUGGAAUGAAUGAUUGGACAAGAAAAUUUCUGUCUCUUUUUUAAAUUUUUUGAAUUUUAUUUUUAAGUGAAAAAGCUUAAAUUUUUAUAAAAGACGAGAAGACCCUAUAGAGUUUAAUAUUCAUAAUUAAUUUGACUUUAGAAAUAUAUUUUGGUUUUGUUUAUUUAGUUGGGGUGAUUUAAAGAUUAAAUAAAUUCUUUAAUUAAAUAAUUAGUGAUUUCUAAAUUUUGAAUCUAUAUUUAAUAAAUAUAAAAUAAAUUACCUUAGGGAUAACAGCGUAAUUUUUCUUAAAAGUUCUUAUUGAAAGGAAAGUUUGCGACCUCGAUGUUGGAUUAAAAUUAAUUUUUGGUGCAAUAACUUAAAAAUUAGGUCUGUUCGACCUUUAAAAUUUUACAUGAUCUGAGUUUAAACCGGUGUAAACCAGGUUGGAUUCUAUCUUUAGAAAGAUAAUAUAUUUUAGUACGAAAGGACCAAGUAUAUAUUAAAUUAAUUG